CACGUAGGGGACGAGCGUUGUCCGGAUUCAUUGGGCGUAAAGCGCGCGUAGGCGGCUCGGAAAGUCGGUCGUGAAAUGCCGGGGCUCAACCCCGGGACUGCGUCCGAUACUCCCGAGCUGGAGGCAGGUAGGGGAGAUCGGAAUUCCUGGUGUAGCGGUGAAAUGCGCAGAUAUCAGGAGGAACAUCAGUGGCGAAAGCGGCUUCCUGGACCAGCACCGACGUUCAGGCACGAAAGCGUGGGGAGCAAACAGG
RNAcentral lists this ribosomal RNA (253 nucleotides) under uncultured bacterium. RNAcentral describes it as "partial 16S ribosomal RNA". It matches the Rfam family "Bacterial small subunit ribosomal RNA", at positions 524 to 776 of the family's 1533-position model. The record is from RNAcentral.